Molecule: ribosomal RNA, 494 nt
Filed under: uncultured bacterium
Lineage: Bacteria
Description: partial 16S ribosomal RNA
Rfam family: Bacterial small subunit ribosomal RNA
Source: RNAcentral
GACGAACGCUGGCGGCGUGCUUAACACAUGCAAGUCGAACGGUGAAGCGCCUUCCUUUUUGGUGGGUGUGGAUGAGUUGCGAACGGGUGAGUAACACGUGAGUAACCUGCCCCCUUCUUCUGGAUAACCGCAUGAAAGUGUGGCUAAUACGGGAUAUUCUGUGUCUGUCGCAUGAUGGGUCUGGGAAAGAUAUUGUUUCGGUGGGGGAUGGGCUCGCGGCCUAUCAGCUUGUUGGUGGGGUGAUGGCCUACCAAGGCGGUGACGGGUAGCCGGCCUGAGAGGGUGGACGGUCACACUGGGACUGAGACACGGCCCAGACUCCUACGGGAGGCAGCAGUGGGGAAUAUUGCACAAUGGGCGCAAGCCUGAUGCAGCGACGCCGCGUGAGGGAUGGAGGCCUUCGGGUUGUGAACCUCUUUCGCCAGUGAAGCAGGCCUGCCUCGUUUGUGGGUGGGUUGACGGUAGCUGGAUAAGAAGCGCCGGCUAACUACGUG